This is a long non-coding RNA of Cygnus olor (mute swan), 149 nucleotides long. RefSeq lists it as uncharacterized. The transcript is spliced from 2 exons. NCBI's taxonomy places the organism in Eukaryota, Metazoa, Chordata, Aves, Anseriformes, Anatidae. The record is from RefSeq and is a predicted model, not a curated record.
AUGGGGCAACAGCUGAAAUCACUGACUGUGAGUUUCUUUUUAAACCUUUGGGGGGAAACUUGGGGAAGAGCUGAACUCCAUGGGAAGAGGCUGAGAGAGAAGAGCUGGACCUGAGCUGAAGAGGAGCUGAAUAAGAACGCUUCUUGGGG